GCUGGGAUGUCUAGUUUCUAGAUCCAGUAAAAUCAGCCCCUUUUGCAAAUGAGCCUAGUGGUCCUUAACAAACUCUGCCUACAUCCAGAGAGGCAAGAUAAUUUUAAAGUUUUCAGUGGCUCGGGAUAUAUUAGAUGACAGUGAGUGAAAUACACUAAUUUCUCCCUCUUUUCUCAUGCAUUUCAUUUCUAGAACAAGAGGAAAGUAUGGGGAAGGAGCCAAGCAGGAGACGUUCACCUUUGCCUUAACUUUGGUCUUCAUUCAAUGUGUGAUCAAUGCUGUGUUUGCCAAGAUCUGGUGGAUCGUACCCGGAGCUGGCUCUAUGCUGCCUGUUCUAUCUCCUAUCUGGGUGCCAUGGUCUCCAGCAAUUCAGCACUACAGUUUGUCAACUACCCAACUCAGGU
This 404-nucleotide long non-coding RNA is filed under the name Homo sapiens (human). RNAcentral describes it as "non-protein coding lnc-FAM117A-3:1". The record is from RNAcentral. Lineage: Eukaryota; Metazoa; Chordata; Mammalia; Primates; Hominidae.